RNAcentral lists this ribosomal RNA (608 nucleotides) under uncultured fungus. Its description in RNAcentral is "eukaryotic LSU rRNA". The stretch from base 215 to 368 matches the Rfam family "5.8S ribosomal RNA". The record is from RNAcentral. Lineage: Eukaryota; Fungi.
GGACUGCGGAAGGAUCAUUAUCGUAUAACUGAGGCACGAGGGCUGUCGCUGACUUUUUUGUCGUGCACGCCCAAGUGCUCUCAAACAAUCCCUUUCACCCCAUGUGCACCACCGCGUGGGUCUCCUUUUGGGCUUGUCCCGAGGGAGRCUUGCGUUUUCACACAAACUUGAUGCAGUGUAGAAUGUCUUUUUGCGAUAACACGCAAUUUAAUACAACUUUCAACAACGGAUCUCUUGGCUCUCGCAUCGAUGAAGAACGCAGCGAAAUGCGAUACGUAAUGUGAAUUGCAGAAUUCAGUGAAUCAUCGAAUCUUUGAACGCACCUUGCGCCCCUUGGCAUUCCGAGGGGCACACCCGUUUGAGUGUCGUGAAAUUCUCAAAAACCUUUCUUUUGAAAGGGCUUUGGAUUUGGAGGCUUUUGCUGGCUUUGCCUUGAAGUGAGCUCCUCUUAAACGAAUUAGUGGGGUCUGCUUUGCCGAUCCUUGACGUGAUAAGAUGUUUCUACGUCUUGGGUUUGGUGAUGCACCUGCUUCUAACCGUCUCAUGGACAAUGAUGGUGUUUCGGUCACCGCCGUUUCAUUGCGGUCGGGAGGCUUGGCCCACCAAAA